This is an RNA transcript of Cynoglossus semilaevis (tongue sole), 2623 nucleotides long. It is a transcript of the gene named finTRIM family, member 83, with no coding region annotated. NCBI's taxonomy places the organism in Eukaryota, Metazoa, Chordata, Actinopteri, Pleuronectiformes, Cynoglossidae. The transcript has 8 exons. The record is from RefSeq and is a predicted model, not a curated record.
CAAAGCCUAACAGUCAGCAACUAAAGUACACACCACACUGGAGUCAGGAGUGACUCCAGUGUGGUGUGGUGCUUUUCUUGCAGUAUUGAAAAAAACAAAAAACAAAAACGCAUUUGCUUUUUGCAUGUGACACUUUGAAUAGUCAAAUAAAGUACAUACUGUGUGUAAAAGAAAAAAAAAGAGAGUCAUCUUCUGUUCUUCUUUGAUUGUGAUUACUCUUUAAUCUAAUUAAAAUCAAACCAAUAGAAACCUUGCUUUCCACUACAAACCUUUCAUCUCUCAAUCAUUCAUUCACUUCACAUUCUCUCAGAGUCAUUUACUGCGUCCUUUACUUGCCCCGCCUUUGUUUUACUGGUUUCGGCUUAACCAGUUUAGCCUCCCUCUUUGUUUACGCUAUAUAACCUGUGACUGUAGUACCUGUGUGAUCACUUUGCAUCUGUGCUGACACAAGUCACUGUCUGCCUUUACAUCCUUGUUACUGUGUUACAGGGAGUAGCACCCAGCUUUCUUCAUGUCUUCCGACCAGGAGAGCUGCUACCUGUGUAAGGAAUAUCUCAGGGAUCCUGUGUCCAUCCCAUGUGGCCAUGUCUUCUGCUCCAUUUGCCUGAAAACCUACUGGGACCAUGCUGACCACACAGGCUCAUUCAUCUGCCCACAGUGCAGGGUCACAUACAGUAAGAGGCCCACACCAAGACGCAUGACGAGCUCCCGGAGUUCGACACUACCACGCAAUUCUGAAGCCUUUCCACCGCCGCCUCCGUCUCCUGACUACAACUAUGCAGGACCACAGGACGUUGGCUGCGACAUCUGCAUUGGCAAGAAGCACAAAGCCAUCAAGACCUGUCUGAUGUGCCUGGCUUCCUACUGUGAGAAGCACCUGAAGCCUCACUUUGAGUCUGCAACUUUUAAGAGGCACAAGCUGGUGGAUGAAAUCGGCCAUCUGGACAGACAGAUCUGUCCUCAGCAUCAGAAGGGUCUGGAGCUGUUCUGCCGCACUGAUCAAAUGUGCAUCUGUGUCCUGUGCACGGUCAAAGAGCACAAAGGCCAUGACAUGGUGUCUGCGGAGCAGGAGAGGGCCGAGGAACAGCAACGACUGGGCGCCACCCAGGCGGAGAUCCAAGAGAAGAUUCACGACCGGCUCAAGCAGAUGGAGGAACUUAAACAAGCAGUAGACUCACUAAAGAACUCGGCGCAGAGAGCACUGCAGGAAUGUGAGAAGAUGUUCAGUGACAUGAUGCGCUCCAUCGAAAGGAUGCAGCAGGAGAUGGCCAAGCUCAUCUCCUCCAACAAGAGAGCCGCGCUGAACAACGCAGAAGGCCACUUGGAGCGGCUGACUCAUGAGAUAGCUGACCUGAAGAGGAGAGACAAUGAGAUCACUCAGCUGUCCCGCACUGAAGACCACAUCCACUUCAUCCAGACCUACCACAUGCUUAUAGCUCAGACGGAGGCGGAGGAGUUGCCCACAGUCAGUGUCAACCCCUACUUCUCCUUUGGCCCAGUGAACAAAGCUGUGUCUGAGAUGAAACAGCACUUGAAUGAAUUUAGCAACGAUGAGCUGGUCAAGGUCGCCAAGACAGUUAACAAAAUGACCUUCUGUCAGCUGGAUGAAUCCAAAAAGAGACGAUCAAUAAAAAGCGAUGAAGCUGCCAUGUACAAGUCGGUGCCAGUGCAGGAACCUCAGUACAGGGAGGAUUUCCUGAAAUAUGCUUGCCAGCUAACUCUGGAUUCAAACACAGCCUACAGACAGCUGUACUUGUCCAGAGGAAACCGGAAAGCUGUCCUAAAGAGAGACCCCCAGAACUUCAGUGACAGCCCUGCCAGGUUUGACUCCCUGCCCCAAGUCCUGUGUAAAGAACCCCUCUCUGGUGGUGCAUACUACUGGGAGGCUGACUGGAGCGGGGAGGGAGCUGCCAUUGGUGUCACAUACAAAGGCAUUAAGAGGACCGGUUACGGAGACAGCUGCCGCAUUGGAUACAACCGCAAGUCCUGGAGCCUCUUCUGCUCCGACUCCAGCUACUCAGCCCGUCACAAUAAAGACCAAAUAGAGAUCAAAGCACCGUAUUCCUCCCGCAUCGGUGUGUUCCUUGACCAUGCUGGCGGUACUCUCUCUUUCUACGCCGUGGGAGACUCUAUAUCUCUCAUCCAUCGCUUCAAGACCUCCUUUAGUGAACCAGUCUAUCCAGGCUUCUGGGUUUGGUAUGAGUCGGCCAUCGCUCUCAUACAGCUGUAAAAAAAAAAAAGAAAAAAUCAGACUUCUGCUAAUUGAUGUACAACAUUGAUUGCGUAUUAUUGUGAAUAUUUAGAACAAAGCUAUAACAUCUUUGAAGGUACAUACUAUAUUUUUUUCUGAAGGAUUUAUAUAACUACAACACAUGGAUUAUAAUCAGGGGAUUUUUUGUAAUGACUGUGAAUAUUCUUCAAAUUAAUCUGUUACAAAAAGGUUAUUCACUUAUUGACUAUCGGGGGGCUAUACCCCCGAUUUAACAUAAAUAAACCUUUUUUUCUCAGGAACAUUAUCACAUCUUUGUUCUCUUCUCAUCACACACGUUUGUCUAAAGAAUGGCAAUUGUUGGCAAUUACGGUGUAGCAGUCAUAUAUAAUGAAUAAAUAUUAAAGACAGUGA